CACCAAUAUAUUCACCUUCAUAAUUUCCAACUGUAAUACUAUGCCCUUACAGCUUUCAUCACACAAUUAUCCUCGUUCCAAUCACUGGAAUUCUUCACACAGAACUGCCAUUCAGAUUACAAUGUUUCACACAAACACAGACUCAUUCUCUCUGCUGAACUACAAUCAGAUUUCAGCAUUCAAUCUUUCUUCUUCUCAAAUAAUACCAAUCACAUUUCUAUUCCAUAAUUCACUUCACAAUAUUCAAAAACUCUCAAUCCUCUUAUUCAAAGAAAAUAACAAACAAAAGAAAAGAGGUAGCACCAAGCUUACCCUGACUCACACUAUCACAGUGAUG
RNAcentral lists this long non-coding RNA (337 nucleotides) under Physcomitrium patens. RNAcentral's name for it is "long non-coding RNA (PPAT_LNC006309)". The record is from RNAcentral. Lineage: Eukaryota; Viridiplantae; Streptophyta; Bryopsida; Funariales; Funariaceae.